UUGCAUGGAGCUCAGUGAUAGAGUGCCUGCCUAGAAUGCACAAGGCCCUAGGUUCAAUCCCCAGCAUGCGUC
This is a non-coding RNA of Ictidomys tridecemlineatus (thirteen-lined ground squirrel), 72 nucleotides long. The record is from Rfam. Lineage: Eukaryota; Metazoa; Chordata; Mammalia; Rodentia; Sciuridae.